RNAcentral lists this ribosomal RNA (428 nucleotides) under uncultured Acidobacterium sp. RNAcentral's name for it is "bacterial SSU rRNA". It matches the Rfam family "Bacterial small subunit ribosomal RNA", at positions 958 to 1385 of the family's 1533-position model. Lineage: Bacteria; Pseudomonadati; Acidobacteriota; Terriglobia; Terriglobales; Acidobacteriaceae. The record is from RNAcentral.
AACGCGAAGAACCUUACCUGGGCUCGAAAUGCUACGGACCAGCUUAUGAAAGUAGGCCUUCCCGCAAGGGACCGUAGUAUAGGUGCUGCAUGGCUGUCGUCAGCUCGUGUCGUGAGAUGUUGGGUUAAGUCCCGCAACGAGCGCAACCCUUGUCCUGUGUUGCCAUACCGAAAGGUGGAACUCGCAGGAGACCGCCAGGGAUAACCUGGAGGAAGGUGGGGAUGACGUCAAGUCCUCAUGGCCUUUAUGUCCAGGGCUACACACGUGCUACAAUGGACGGUACAAAGGGCUGCCAACCCGCGAGGGGGAGCCAAUCCCAAAAAACCGUUCUCAGUUCGGAUUGCAGGCUGCAACUCGCCUGCAUGAAGCUGGAAUCGCUAGUAAUGGCGGAUCAGAACGCCGCCGUGAAUACGUUCCCGGGCCUUGUA